RNAcentral lists this non-coding RNA (157 nucleotides) under uncultured Bilophila sp. RNAcentral's name for it is "FMN riboswitch (RFN element)". It matches the Rfam family "FMN riboswitch aptamer (RFN element)". From Rfam's summary of the family: The RFN element is a highly conserved domain that is found frequently in the 5'-untranslated regions of prokaryotic mRNAs that encode for flavin mononucleotide (FMN) biosynthesis and transport proteins. This element is a metabolite-dependent riboswitch that directly binds FMN in the absence of proteins. Lineage: Bacteria; Pseudomonadati; Thermodesulfobacteriota; Desulfovibrionia; Desulfovibrionales; Desulfovibrionaceae. The record is from RNAcentral.
GUUCUCAGGGCGGGGUGAAAUUCCCCACCGGCGGUAUUCCGGGCGGCCGAAAACGGCUUUCAGCCCCGGAGAGCCCGCGAGCGCCCUUCACGCGAAGGGGUCAGCAGAGCCGGUGAGAAACCGGCGCCGACAGUAACAGUCUGGAUGAAAGAGAACG